CCUGAACGCUGGCGGCGUGGCUAAGACAUGCAAGUCGUACGGACCCGCAAGGGUCAGUGGCGAACGGGUGAGUAAUGAAUCGCUAAUGUGCCCCGGACUCAGGGAUAGCUAUCCGAAAGGGUAGGUAAUACCUGAUGACAUAACCUUGUCGCAUGGCAGGGUUCUCAAAGGUCCGCCGGUCUGGGAGCAGGCGAUUUCGUAUCAGCUAGUUGGUGAGGUAACGGCUCACCAAGGCGACGACGCGUAGCCGGACUGAGAGGUUGGCCGGCCACAUUGGGACUGAGACACUGCCCAGACUCCUACGGGGGGCGUNCAGUAACGAAUCUUCCGCAAUGCACGAAAGUGUGACGGAG
Molecule: ribosomal RNA, 353 nt
Filed under: uncultured bacterium
Lineage: Bacteria
Description: bacterial SSU rRNA
Rfam family: Bacterial small subunit ribosomal RNA
Source: RNAcentral